Molecule: ribosomal RNA, 504 nt
Filed under: uncultured Lachnospiraceae bacterium
Lineage: Bacteria; Bacillati; Bacillota; Clostridia; Lachnospirales; Lachnospiraceae
Description: bacterial SSU rRNA
Rfam family: Bacterial small subunit ribosomal RNA
Source: RNAcentral
GAUCCUGGCUCAGGAUGAACGCUGGCGGCGUGCUUAACACAUGCAAGUCGAACGGGGAUGCCAUUUUUGAAGCGAUUAGCUUGCUGAGAGUGGAAAUGUUGGCAUCUUAGUGGCGGACGGGUGAGUAACGCGUGGGGAACCUGCCCUGUACAGGGGGAUAACACUUAGAAAUAGGUGCUAAUACCGCAUAAGCGCACAGUAUCGCAUGAUACAGUGUGAAAAACUCCGGUGGUACAGGAUGGACCCGCGUCUGAUUAGCUGGUUGGCGGGGUAACGGCCCACCAAGGCGACGAUCAGUAGCCGGCCUGAGAGGGUGAACGGCCACAUUGGGACUGAGACACGGCCCAAACUCCUACGGGAGGCAGCAGUGGGGAAUAUUGGACAAUGGGGGGGAACCCUGAUCCAGCGACGCCGCGUGAGUGAAGAAGUAUUUCGGUAUGUAAAGCUCUAUCAGCAGGGAAGAAAAUGACGGUACCUGACUAAGAAGCCCCGGCUAACUACGUG